UGGCAUGGCAAGCUCAGCUCCAACAAGGCCAAGGAAACAGGAGGAAGAACGUGUCAAGGGUCCCGCCUUCUCUCCUGCGCGGCCCCUGGACCAAAGCUCUGAGGGAUUCAGUGCAGGACCAAGACAUCCUGAUGUUCCCUGUUCUCUGGAGCUUGAGUCACCUGCAUCGAGAAGGAAGUGGGGCAAACAGCUCCAAGUUCCUGGAAUCACAUGAGGCUCUUUCCAUAGAUGAGCUGACAAAACAGAGAAAUUGGGUAGAGGGUGGGAAGCAGAGACUGCUCCCUGGAAGAGCCAGCGAGGAGAAACCACUCAGUGGGAAAGGAGGUCAGAGCCGAGGUGAAAAUGAUCUCAGGACAGGGAGGUCUUGGAGGGCGAGCUCAGGGGGAAAGUUCAGGAGGUUUUUACCUGACUCUACAGAAAGCUGUGCUGAGUUAAGGAGUGAGUCAUAGAUUUGAAAUCUGAUGACCUAAGGGUUAUGAGAGGAAUCCGGCUCCUAGGAGGCAACAGAUGUAGCAGCGAAGAGCAUAAGCUUGGAGCAGAAAAGAGCUGGGUCCAAAUCUCAGCUGUGUGUCUCUGGCCAAGUUAGUGCGUCUCAGUUUCCUUAUCUGUAAAAAUGAGUAUGUCUCCCACGGUGUUGCUGAGAGGAUGUGAGCACUAGUGAGGUCCCUGGCGCUUGAUACAUGGUAGUUCCAGCUCUCUAAAGGACGGAACAGAGGAUGGGAUGUUUCUUGAUCCUUUUUGGGUAACUCUGGCUCUGCCCCGAGGGUGGCAAGAAGGGGCACAGUCAGAGAGAAAUUCCUCGUGGGAAUAAUGCCUAAUGCACUUCUAGGAACAAUGAUGUCUGAUGUUGCAUUUGAAAUUAUUUCCUGCCCCAAGCCAUAAUAGCUCUGUCUACUCUCAUUAGCCACAACAUCUUCAGGAAAGUCUGUUACGGGCAACUGCUUUGUGUUAGUGGUGUUUUGCAACAGAAAGGAGACAGGCCAAGGCUAUGCUUAGGCUCCGUCCGGGGAUGGUAGAGAGGAAAGAGCAAGAAUGGAGCAGGAAGCAGGAUUGCAGAGCCCGGGUGGGGUGGGGGUUGGCAUUAAGGAGGGCAAUUCUGUCUCCACAGUGAAUAGCAAAGGCAAGAGUGGCCUGAGGAGGGAAGAAGACUUGCUAACACCCAGGUUAUAGCAACACAGGUGCAACCACCACAGGUAGAAGAAAUCGGGAACAGCCUUUUUUUUUUUUUUUUUUUUUUUUUUUUUUUUGUCUUUUUGCCAUUUCUUGGGCCGCUCCCGCGGCAUAUGGAGGUUCCCAGGCUAGGGGUCCAAUCGGAGCCAUAGCCGCCGGCCUACACCACAGCCACAGCAAUGCGGGAUCCCAGCCGCGUCUGCAGCUUACACCACAGCUCACGGCAAUGCUGGAUCCUUAACCCACGAAGCAAGGCCAGGGAUUGAACCCGAAACCUCAUGGUUCCCAGUCGGAUUCGUUAACCACUGUGCCACGCCGGGAACUCUUCAGUCAAGCUGACUCACUUGGAGUAGCUCUAGAACAUUCUAAUUAGACUGUACCCGCUACGUUUAUAGAGCCAGCAUCUCUGAGUGUCCGCCGUGGCUCCUCCGUGCAUCCUCUUCUUCCUCAUCUGUGUGAGAGGGAGGUUUCCCCAGGUUGCCAGCCUCCAGUGUUGGCAAGAUGAAAAUUAAAGGUAGCCAAAUAAGAUAGGGCUCAAAGGGGGACGAGUUUCUAGGAUGGCUCACACCUGUUGUCGGUCGUGCUGUGUCCCCAACUGCUGCUCCAAUACCACCGAUGAAAUGGCUCGUGAACCCCUUGGGCAAUGCACCAGCCACCGAGGCCACUAUCCUCAGCCCUGGCUCACCUCUAGGUCAGUGCUCUUUUUUUUUUCAUUGCCACACCUGCAGCAUAUGGAAGUUCCCAGUCUAGGGUUAGAAUUGGAGCUGCAGCUGCAGGCCUAUGCCGCAGCCACUGGCAACACCAGAUCCAAGCCGUACCUGCAACCUCUGCUGAGCUUGCAGCAAUGCCCAUUCUUAAUCCACUGAGCAAGGCCAGGGAUUGAACCCCACCCUCACAGAGACUACAUUGAGUUUUUAACCUGCUGAGCCACAAUGGGAACCCCACACAGGCCUUCCCAGCAGAGCCACCCUCACACUCAGGUGGGAGCAUGCUCUUCUCAGAUUCUUCUUUUUACUCAUUCACCCAUGAUGCCACUGAGUCUGCCCCCUCUGCCCAGGACGUCACAGACAAGGGCUGAACUUCUGGCAUUCAUCAGUUCCAAUGUCUUUAUAUAACCCACAUUCACCCAGGUAAGGGGCUUGAAAGCCCUUUGCAAGCAUCCAUCAGCCUCCGGAAUUGCCUCAGACCGUCUCCCAUGUGCCCGCUUUCCUCUCAUUCGUUAUUCUCGGCUUUCCCACCGGGAACCUCUCCCUUUCUCCCUGCUGCAUCCUCCUCCCCCAUUUCCAUUCCACACACCUCAGCUCCUGUCCUUCACCAUGGACCCGAAUCCCAGACUUCAACCCCUGCAUUCCUCUGGACAGAAGCCUGGCUCUCCUCUACCUCUAAUACCUACAGCUGCAUUGAAAGCUAU
This 2581-nucleotide long non-coding RNA is filed under the name Sus scrofa (pig). RNAcentral's name for it is "lncRNA (ENSSSCG00060057148.1)". Lineage: Eukaryota; Metazoa; Chordata; Mammalia; Artiodactyla; Suidae. The record is from RNAcentral.